This 414-nucleotide ribosomal RNA is filed under the name uncultured microorganism. RNAcentral's name for it is "bacterial SSU rRNA". It matches the Rfam family "Archaeal small subunit ribosomal RNA", at positions 330 to 745 of the family's 1478-position model. The record is from RNAcentral.
GCGCACCAGGCGCGAAUCCUUCGCAAUGCGGGAAACCGCGACGAGGGGACUCCCAGUGCCUACGCUCAGCGUAGGCUGUUCCCGAGCCUAGAAAGCUCGGGGAGUAAGGGCUGGGUAAGACGGGUGCCAGCCGCCGCGGUAAUACCCGCAGCCCGAGUGGUGGCCACUAUUAUUGGGCCUAAAGCGUCCGUAGCCGGCCCGGUAAAUGCCUGGGUAAAUCGUGAGGCCUAACCUCACGAAUUCCGGGUAGACUGCCGGGCUAGGGGACCGGAGGAGGGAGAGGGUACUCCAGGGGUAGGGGUGAAAUCCUGUAAUCCCUGGAGGACCACCGGUGGCGAAGGCGCUCUCCUAGGACGGGUCCGACGGUGAGGGACGAAAGCCAGGGGAGCGAACCGGAUUAGAUACCCCUGUAGU